RNAcentral lists this ribosomal RNA (275 nucleotides) under Klebsiella pneumoniae. RNAcentral describes it as "partial 16S ribosomal RNA". It matches the Rfam family "Bacterial small subunit ribosomal RNA", at positions 318 to 585 of the family's 1533-position model. Lineage: Bacteria; Pseudomonadati; Pseudomonadota; Gammaproteobacteria; Enterobacterales; Enterobacteriaceae. The record is from RNAcentral.
ACUGAGACACGGUCCAGACUCCUACGGGAGGCAGCAGUGGGGAAUAUUGCACAAUGGGCGCAAGCCUGAUGCAGCCAUGCCGCGUGUGUGAAGAAGGCCUUCGGGUUGUAAAGCACUUUCAGCGGGGAGGAAGGCGGUGAGGUUAAUAACCUCAUCGAUUGACGUUACCCGCAGAAGAAGCACCGGCUAACUCCGUGCCAGCAGCCGCGGUAAUACGGAGGGUGCAAGCGUUAAUCGGAAUUACUGGGCGUAAAGCGCACGCAGGCGGUCUGUCA